RNAcentral lists this long non-coding RNA (340 nucleotides) under Vulpes vulpes (red fox). Its description in RNAcentral is "lncRNA (ENSVVUG00000014111.1)". Lineage: Eukaryota; Metazoa; Chordata; Mammalia; Carnivora; Canidae. The record is from RNAcentral.
CCCCCGCCUGCGGACGCGCCGCACGGGGCAGGUGCCCGGUUCACCGCGCGCCGCGGGCGGGGCUGGAGCUCUGCGGCGGAGCGUACCCGCCCGGAGCCCGGAAUCGGGCGCGGGGAAGCCGAGGGUACCACGGACCUCCCGGCGACUUGGGCGAGUGUACACGGAUACUUUUGAGAACAUCAGCUUAUAUCAGACCAGAGCCUAUUUAACACGAGGCCUCUUCUACACAAACAGGGAAUGCAGCCUUCUUAAUACUGUUCUGGUAAAUACCCUUGCAUUAGAGGCUGGCUUUAUUUGAGAACUUAAUAAAUUCUACUUGUGGUUUAAGGUGAUAUUCCUU